AGAACGAACGCUGGCGGCAUGCCUAAUACAUGCAAGUCGAACGAACUCUUCGGAGUUAGUGGCGCACGGGUGCGUAACGCGUGGGAAUCUGCCCCUUGGUUCGGAAUAACAGUUGGAAACGACUGCUAAUACCGGAUGAUGACGAAAGUCCAAAGAUUUAUCGCCAAGGGAUGAGCCCGCGUAGGAUUAGCUAGUUGGUGAGGUAAAGGCUCACCAAGGCAACGAUCCUUAGCUGGUCUGAGAGGAUGAUCAGCCACACUGGGACUGAGACACGGCCCAGACUCCUACGGGAGCAGCAGUA
Molecule: ribosomal RNA, 301 nt
Filed under: uncultured soil bacterium
Lineage: Bacteria
Description: bacterial SSU rRNA
Rfam family: Bacterial small subunit ribosomal RNA
Source: RNAcentral